Molecule: long non-coding RNA, 2381 nt
Filed under: Marmota monax (woodchuck)
Lineage: Eukaryota; Metazoa; Chordata; Mammalia; Rodentia; Sciuridae
Source: RNAcentral
GCCGCUUGUGGCGCGCGGGGCCGGGGCCUUGGGCCAGGCGCAUGGGGACGCGCAGGCCUCGGUCGCCCUCCCCGCCGCGAGGCCCCGCACCUCGGUGUCUGCCUGCUCCCUCUUCCCGGUGUGGCCGCUCCCGGGAGCCCCUAGUUGUCUGUGAAAGGACAGGGCGCAGACUGCCCCGCUGCACCCACGGGGACGGGGGACGCCGCGGCAGGGACGACCCGCCGGGAGCAGUGUGCCCUUCGCUGCGGGCCUCGUGACUGCUCCGUAGAUUCCGCGGUCCUGCUCCUUUCGCGCGGACCGUUCCGAUCGCCCGUUUUGCGAAUGGCCCGGCAUCUUCGCACGACUGCGCCGCAGCCUUCACUGUGCCACAGCACCGCCCUACCUGGGGUGCUGGUGACCCGCCUUGGCGCAGCUCGAGGGCCCGGGCAGGAGCUCACAGGGGGCUCGCAUCCUAUCAGAGUACAAGGCUUUAAAAGCAACCGGUCCACCAACCGGUAAAUAAACUGCACCCUGCCCUCCUACCUGACGUCUUAUUGUGAAAGUGUGUUUCCUAACGACAAAACCCUCAAAUAUCCAUAAAGGGAUGAGGUUUUCAUGUUGAUACCGCUGGCGAUGAAAAUCAGGACCGAGUUCUGCUUCCUCAGAUGUUGAAGUUUGAAAUCAGAGAAUCUUCGAGGCAAGCAUAGAAAGCUAGUUUUAUUUGAAUAAUAAUAGACUUUUCCCGUGAAGGAGAAGGGGGCUAUGGACAUUUUAGGCUUUCUUUGUUCUCCUGCCCUCUUCCCCCUUAUCUCUGUCCUUCCUGGUUAUGUGACGAGAAGCAGAUGCCAGGCAAAGGGCCCUACGGAGUAAUCCAGGCAGGUCGCAGCCCAGGAGGCAUUAAUUAACACACAUAUAACUCCUUGCAGCGAGGGACAAGUUACCUUAGCCACAGGUUGGAGCAGGAGUAGGUUACCUUGCUAAGGGCUCUGGAGGCAUUAACAUUUCAAUCCUCCACGGGUGCCUUCAACUUCCCAGACCCAAAGACUCCAUCUUUACACCCGGAAUCCCAUACCUAUCUACACUGACUGCCUGUCUUUAAUUCUUGCUUCAGUACAACUGAAGGCCCACAGAGCAUCAGCAAUGGUAGAGUUUUCUUUGCAGUGCACAUGUCAGGGUGUUCUGGUGAGAGUUUGGCAGUGCUGGUUAAUACAGACGUCAGUUGAGGCCCUCACAAGCCUUCAAGCAAGCACACUGGCUGGGGAGUGGGGACUCCAGGGACAGCUGUCAGCCUUGUACAUGGAAGUGGAGGACUUGUCCUCUGGGAAAAUGAAGCAGUCUCUAAAAAAGCCUCCUACAUAAUUGGAAGAAAAUAAAGACAUCAUGAUUUGUCUCCAUUCCAGAAAAUUUUAGCGUUUUACUCUAUAUUUCAGUAAAAUUACUAAUUGUUAUUAUAAUGAAAAGUCACAUAAUUUGUAUUCUGAACAAGACAAUAAUUAGUUUUUUAUUGUUGCUUUUUCUUUCUGGUACUGGGGAUUGAACCUAGGGGUGCUCUACUACUGACCUACAUCCUUAGCCUUUUUUAUUUAUCGUUUUGAGACAGUGUUAGAAAUACUAGGGUGCUUCAAGGAAUCAAAGGCAUGCUCCAAAGUAGCUCAGGAAGGCAAAGAGAAAACCUUACUUCUGCAGAGUGUGCUGUAAGCAAGCACACUGGGUGGGGGGAGCUUCUCAUUUUGUUCCUAAUAGAGCACUGCCCCUUGCUCUGAUAGGAGGAGGACAGGAGGAGCUGGAGUUACAAUCUAUGCAUUUGCUAAUUUUAAAUUUGGGGAGGGCAAGGGGAAGGGCUGUAGUUACAAUAGCUAGGAUUGGGUCAUACAUCCCAAUGAAGGCUAAAUACUAUAUUCUGAAAAUGGACCACUGGACUUUCCAUUUCUUAAAACAGGUUCUCCCUAGGUUGCCCAGGUUGGACUAAAACGUGCAAUCCUCCUGCAUCAGCCUCCUAAAUUGCUGGGAUUACAUGCAUGCACCUCUGUGCCAAGCUAGACAGUCUUUCUUAACUCAUUGUACUUCUUUUUUCUUUAUUUUAAAAAUUUGGUUCAGUUUGUAGAAUUUUGCUCUAUCAAGGCAGUAGCAUUUGAAAGUGUCAAUAAAAUCCAAAAAAAGUACUUCAAUUUCGAAAUGAGCUGUUGAUUUAUAUAUAUCAUAUCCCCAGAUUGUAACAGAUCAUAUAUGAUAAUUUUUCAUGAUUGCAGAAGCUAUACUAAACAUUUCAAUUCCAAUUAAAAUCACCACCUCCGGGCUGGGAUUGUGGCUCAGCGUUAAGAGCACUUGCCUAGCAUGGGUGGGACCCAGGUUCGAUCCGCAGCACCACAUAAAAUAAAGGCAUUGUGUUGUGUCCAUCUACA